This 1166-nucleotide unclassified non-coding RNA is filed under the name Leishmania donovani. RNAcentral's name for it is "gene:unknown". Lineage: Eukaryota; Euglenozoa; Kinetoplastea; Trypanosomatida; Trypanosomatidae. The record is from RNAcentral.
UUUUGUUCCUUUACACGUGUUCCUCAUGUGUGCUAAACGGAGGUCGAAAAAAAAAGGUGCAGUUGGUCUCUCUCUCAAAUCGCCCCCGAUCGACACGAUCCUCCUCUUUUUCCAUUUCGACGUCUCCAUUCUCUGCUAUGCAACAGGAGGUCGGUGUUCCGCUCUAACCCGCUCCCCCCUUCCUCCUCCCCGGCGUGCUACACAGACCCCCCAUCGCGUGAUGCGAAGCAGCCGUAGACGCACCCGCGUUACAGCAAUGCGCCGACCCAGCCGUCUGAGAGCACGGCCGACUGCCUCAAACUCCACCCACCCCGCGCUCUACAGGUCGCCUCGCAGCCGCUUCCAUCAUACUGCUCGCCACCUGGUGCGUCGUCCUCGGGGUGGCCUCAGGCUCCCCGCACCGGUGGGCCGUUGAGGGCCGGGAUGGGGGUGGGGUGCGUUCGAGUCACGCGGGCACUCGUGCCUAAUCAUAUGGAUGGGCCGGGUAUGCUCACGCUGUCGCAGGCCGCUCCGACGCCAGGCCGUCCUGGAGCUGACCGCAGACGUCAGCAGCGAUCCAUCGCGCUCACUGCGCUACGCCCUAGGCAUCUGUCCUUCUGACGGCGAGACGUGGGUUUGGCAUCGGCAGGGAUAGCGGGGCUGCUCGGCUUCCUCGCACAGAGAGCGGGGAUGUGGACUGGGCACUGAUGCCACAGUGACGUGUGGUCCCCGUUGUCAGGAAGAGAGGCACGGCGCGGCGGAAACAAAAAGUACAAGUUGGUGACAAGACAGCGGGAGCUCAGGCAGCCUGAGCUGUGCUGGGUAAAGCCAGACGAAGCGCUUGAUGGGCGCCGAGCCCCGAAGCGAUCGAAGAGUGACGAGUCGUGCACACAGCAAGUCGCAUGGUUCGCCGUGGCGACACGUGCACUGGGCCUCCGUCGAGUGUGCAGUUCCCGCUCCCCUCGGUCUCCUUUUGGAAAAGUACGUUGAUGGGUAUCUCAUUUUGGGGUUCCACUUGAUGCCCCACUGCUCACGUCGUCGCUCUCCAUGCUUCUAUUCACUUCCACCUCUCCGCUUUCGUGUUUCGUUGUUGUUGUGGUUUCCCUUCACCGCGCAAACAUCGCGUCACGAUCGCCCGCUUUCAUGGUGCAUGCUCGAUGGGGGGACACAUGACGGACGCCCUUCAG